AUUGAACGCUGGCGGCAGGCCUAACACAUGCAAGUCGAGCGGAUGAAGGGAGCUUGCUCCUGGAUUCAGCGGCGGACGGGUGAGUAAUGCCUAGGAAUCUGCCUGGUAGUGGGUGAUAACGUCCGGAAACGGGCGCUAAUACCGCAUACGUCCUGAGGGAGAAAGUGGGGGAUCUUCGGACCUCACGCUAUCAGAUGAUCCUAGGUCGGAUUAGCUAGUUGGUGGGGUAAAGGCCUACCAAGGCGACGAUCCGUAACUGGUCUGAGAGGAUGAUCAGUCACACUGGAACUGAGACACGGUCCAGACUCCUACGGGAGGCAGCAGUGGGGAAUAUUGGACAAUGGGCGAAAGCCUGAUCCAGCCAUGCCGCGUGUGUGAAGAAGGUCUUCGGAUUGUAAAGCCCUUUAAGUUGGGAGGAAGGGCAGUAAGUUAAUACCUUGCUGUUUUGACGUUACCAAAAGAAUAAGCACCGGCUAACUUCGUG
RNAcentral lists this ribosomal RNA (484 nucleotides) under uncultured bacterium. RNAcentral's name for it is "partial 16S ribosomal RNA". It matches the Rfam family "Bacterial small subunit ribosomal RNA", at positions 30 to 507 of the family's 1533-position model. The record is from RNAcentral.